CGGAGCAAUCCGGUAUCCCUGGCGAACGGGUGCGUAACACGUGGGUAAUCUACCCUCGAGUCUGGGAUAACCUCCCGAAAGGGAGGAUAAUACCGGAUAGUCUUGGGAGGACAUAUGUCUUUCUUCGUAAAGGUGGGGAUCGUAAGACCUACCACUUGAGGAUGAGCCCGCGGCCUAUUAGCCAGUUGGCGGGGUAAUGGCCCACCAAAGCUUCGAUAGGUAGCCGGCCUGAGAGGGUGAACGGCCACAUUGGGACUGAGACACGGCCCAGACUCCUACGGGAGGCAGCAGUUAAGAAUAUUGCGCAAUGGGGGAAACCCUGACGCAGCGACGCCGCGUGGAUGAUGAAGGCCUUCGGGUUGUAAAAUCCGGUAAGUGGGGACGAAUAAGUGUAUGCUAAUACCAUGCAUGAUGACGGUACCCACCUAAAGCCCCGGCUAACUACGUGCCAGCAGCCGCGGUAAUACGUAUGGGGCGAGCGUUGUUCGGAAUUAUUGGGCGUAAAGGGCGUGUAGGCGGGAUAUUAAGUCGAGUGUGAAAGCUGUGGGCUCAACCCAUGAACUGCGCUUGAUACUGGUGUCCUUGAGUAAGGGAGAGGAGAGUGGAAUUCUCGGUGUAGCGGUGAAAUGCCUAGAUAUCGGGAAGAACACCGGUGGCGAA
RNAcentral lists this ribosomal RNA (660 nucleotides) under uncultured Bacillota bacterium. RNAcentral describes it as "bacterial SSU rRNA". It matches the Rfam family "Bacterial small subunit ribosomal RNA", at positions 75 to 719 of the family's 1533-position model. The record is from RNAcentral. Lineage: Bacteria; Bacillati; Bacillota.